GACGAACGCUGGCGGCGUGCCUAAUACAUGCAAGUCGAACGGUCGUUAUGCGGCGGAAUCAUUCGUGAUGAAGUUGCAUAAUGAUAGUGGCGAACGGGUGAGUAACGCGUGAGCAACCUGCCCUAAAGACCGGGAUAACACCGUGAAAGCGGUGCUAAUACCGGAUGUGGCUAGUGAUUCGCAUGAAUUAUUAGCUAAAAGGGAAAAACCGCUUUAGGAUGGGCUCGCGUUCCAUUAGCUAGUUGGUGAGGUAACGGCUCACCAAGGCGACGAUGGAUAGCCGGCCUGAGAGGGUGUACGGCCACAUUGGGACUGAGACACGGCCCAGACUCCUACGGGAGGCAGCAGUAGGGAAUUUUGCGCAAUGGGGGGAACCCUGACGCAGCGACGCCGCGUGGGUGAAGAAGGCCUUCGGGUCGUAAAGCCUUGUCAAGAGGGACGAAAAGAUGACGGUACCUCUAGAGGAAGCCCCGGCUAACUACGUG
RNAcentral lists this ribosomal RNA (485 nucleotides) under uncultured organism. Its description in RNAcentral is "bacterial SSU rRNA". It matches the Rfam family "Bacterial small subunit ribosomal RNA", at positions 28 to 507 of the family's 1533-position model. The record is from RNAcentral.